This 74-nucleotide transfer RNA is filed under the name Arcicella aurantiaca. RNAcentral describes it as "tRNA-Gln". It matches the Rfam family "tRNA". From Rfam's summary of the family: Transfer RNA (tRNA) molecules are approximately 80 nucleotides in length. Their secondary structure includes four short double-helical elements and three loops (D, anti-codon, and T loops). Further hydrogen bonds mediate the characteristic L-shaped molecular structure. tRNAs have two regions of fundamental functional importance: the anti-codon, which is responsible for specific mRNA codon recognition, and the 3' end, to which the tRNAs corresponding amino acid is attached (by aminoacyl-tRNA synthetases). tRNAs cope with the degeneracy of the genetic code in two manners: having more than one tRNA (with a specific anti-codon) for a particular amino acid; and 'wobble' base-pairing, i.e. permitting non-standard base-pairing at the 3rd anti-codon position. Lineage: Bacteria; Pseudomonadati; Bacteroidota; Cytophagia; Cytophagales; Flectobacillaceae. The record is from RNAcentral.
UGACCGAUGGUGUAAUGGUAACACAACGGUUUUUGGUACCGUUAUUCAUGGUUCGAAUCCAUGUCGGUUAACAA